Molecule: ribosomal RNA, 471 nt
Filed under: uncultured bacterium
Lineage: Bacteria
Description: partial 16S ribosomal RNA
Rfam family: Bacterial small subunit ribosomal RNA
Source: RNAcentral
GACGAACGCUGGCGGCGUGCUUAACACAUGCAAGUCGAACGCUGAAGCUUGGUGCUUGCACUGGGUGGCUGAGUGGCGAACGGGUGAGUAAUACGUGAGUAACCUGCCCUUGACUCUGGGAUAAGCCUGGGAAACUGGGUCUAAUACUGGAUAUGACAUGCCACUGCAUGGUGGUGUGUGGAAAGGGUUUUACUGGUUUUGGAUGGGCUCACGGCCUAUCAGCUUGUUGGUGGGGUAAUGGCCUACCAAGGCGACGACGGGUAGCCGGCCUGAGAGGGUGACCGGCCACACUGGGACUGAGACACGGCCCAGACUCCUACGGGAGGCAGCAGUGGGGAAUAUUGCACAAUGGGCGGAAGCCUGAUGCAGCGACGCCGCGUGAGGGAUGACGGCCUUCGGGUUGUAAACCUCUUUCAGCACGGAAGAAGCGAGAGUGACGGUACGUGCAGAAGAAGCGCCGGCUAACUACGU